Molecule: long non-coding RNA, 411 nt
Filed under: Homo sapiens (human)
Lineage: Eukaryota; Metazoa; Chordata; Mammalia; Primates; Hominidae
Description: non-protein coding lnc-EXOSC1-5:1
Source: RNAcentral
UGCAUCCAGGAGAUUGAGAAGUCUGGAGGCUCCAAGGAGGCCACCACCACGCUGCACAUGCUGACGCUGCUGAAGGACCUGCUGCCCUGCUUCCCGGAAGGCCUGGUGAAGAGCUGCAGUGAGACUCUCCUCAGGGUCAUGACCUUGAGCCAUGUGGUGAGCUCAGGCCCAAAAGCUGGAGAAAGGGGGACCUGCAGUGGUGGCAUUUGGGGAACUCACUGGUCAGUCAAAAUGCAGGGCCUGGGGUCUCCCUCCCUGACUGUGUUCUUAAGCUAAAACCAACAGCACUACGUUACUCUGUGGUGUUUGGCUAGGCCAGGCCAUAUCAGAGUCCCCUUCCAGAUGGAAGCUGACCUCAGAGAUCAGGUCAGAGUCAGGGUGGAUCUGUAGUGGGCUGGUAAACCCUCCUUC